GUGCCAGCCGCCGCGGUAAUACGGAGGGUGCGAGCUUUAAUCGGAAUUACUGGGCGUAAAGCGCAUGCAGGUGGUUUGUUAAGUCAGAUGUGAAAGCCCGGGGCUCAACCUCGGAACUGCAUUUGAAACUGGCAGGCUAGAGUACUGUAGAGGGGGGUAGAAUUUCAGGUGUAGCGGUGAAAUGCGUAGAGAUCUGAAGGAAUACCAGUGGCGAAGGCGGCCCCCUGGACAAAGACUGACGCUCAGAUGCGAAAGCGUGGGGAGCAAACAGGAUUAGAAACCCUUGUAGUCC
Molecule: ribosomal RNA, 292 nt
Filed under: uncultured prokaryote
Description: partial 16S ribosomal RNA
Rfam family: Bacterial small subunit ribosomal RNA
Source: RNAcentral